UCAACGGAAAAUCAAAGAGAAAAAGUAUGCACAUGCGCAUGGUUACAACGAAUACAUUGAAGACAUCGACAAUCUUGCUGAUGAAUUCACAAAGCAGGAAAGUUACCAUGGAUCAAAGACAAGAGCUGCCUUGCAGGAAUAUAUGGAUUCAAAGGUCGACGAAGAGCAACAAGUUUACGAAAUGGUUAAGGACAAAACUGACGAUGAAGUUCAACGACAGUUACUUCGCCUUCCACGUACAUUAGUGCAGAUUCCAAAUAUAACUCCAAAGGAAGAGUCAGUCAGAAAGAGGGCGCUAGAGUCCAUUGAAAAGUUUGAGAUUCAUGGGCUUAUGAGAAUUGGGUCGCAAUACAUU
Mya arenaria is the source of this 355-nucleotide long non-coding RNA. RefSeq lists it as uncharacterized. Lineage: Eukaryota; Metazoa; Mollusca; Bivalvia; Myida; Myidae. The transcript is spliced from 3 exons. The record is from RefSeq and is a predicted model, not a curated record.